Molecule: ribosomal RNA, 496 nt
Filed under: uncultured bacterium
Lineage: Bacteria
Description: partial 16S ribosomal RNA
Rfam family: Bacterial small subunit ribosomal RNA
Source: RNAcentral
AUGAACGCUGGCGGCGUGCCUCAUACAUGCAAGUCGAGCGAACAGACGAGGAGCUUGCUCCUCUGACGUUAGCGGCGGACGGGUGAGUAACCCGUGGAUAACCUACCUAUAAGACUGGGAUAACUUCGGGAAACCGGAGCUAAUACCGGAUAAUAUAUUGAACCGCAUGGUUCAAUAGUGAAAGACGGUUUUGCUGUCACUUAUAGAUGGAUCCGCGCCGCAUUAGCUAGUUGGUAAGGUAACGGCUUACCAAGGCAACGAUGCGUAGCCGACCUGAGAGGGUGAUCGGCCACACUGGAACUGAGACACGGUCCAGACUCCUACGGGAGGCAGCAGUAGGGAAUCUUCCGCAAUGGGCGAAAGCCUGACGGAGCAACGCCGCGUGAGUGAUGAAGGUCUUCGGAUCGUAAAACUCUGUUAUUAGGGAAGAACAAAUGUGUAAGUAACUAUGCACGUCUUGACGGUACCUAAUCAGAAAGCCACGGCUAACUACGUG